Monodelphis domestica (gray short-tailed opossum) is the source of this 588-nucleotide long non-coding RNA. RefSeq lists it as uncharacterized. NCBI's taxonomy places the organism in Eukaryota, Metazoa, Chordata, Mammalia, Didelphimorphia, Didelphidae. The record is from RefSeq and is a predicted model, not a curated record.
GAUGGGUAGUUGCCAUAGCAACAGAGGAACACCAGGGGGUGAGAUGAAUUCCUUACUUGGUUGUGGCCACUACUCUUACAUUUCUCACUUCCCCAAUAUUCCCAUUUUCCACCUCUCUGCCUUGACUUGAUUUCUUCCUAAUGAAAUGCCCCUGGGAUGAAGUAAGGUCCAGUUCUAAAUUGCUGAGAAGGAAAAAGAGGGAAAUAUUUAGGACCUACAAUGAACAAGAUAGGUGCCUUGCAUAUGUGGAUUUUGCAGCUGUUUUUUUCUGGAAAGCAACAAAGACAAAAGACAGUCAGCCUUCUCCUAAAGAAGUGACACCAGUCUUACUGCCAUAACACCCACCCCAGCUCAUUCCAUUAUGAGCCCUGCUCCUGGGGCUCUCCUCUUCUGCAGCAAAACCAUUUCCCCUGGUGAGAUUGAUCAGUUUGGCUUAACUUGUUCCUUAUCUCCCUGACUCUUUUGCCACACUGCAGUGCUGAGGACGACGGGAAGGGAAUCUGUGGGAUCUGUACAAGGAGACAGCCAGGAAGCCACAGCCACUGCCUGUAAAAUAAAUUGCAUUUAAUCACUGCAAUUCAAAUCUCA